This is a non-coding RNA of Schizophyllum amplum, 81 nucleotides long. NCBI's taxonomy places the organism in Eukaryota, Fungi, Basidiomycota, Agaricomycetes, Agaricales, Schizophyllaceae. The record is from the annotation of a GenBank genome assembly.
UCCCCGGUAGUAUAUCGGUUAGUACACCCGCCUGUCAGAGUACAAGCGCGGGAGAGCGGGGUUCGACUCCCCGCCGAGGAG